CCUUCACACACACAUCUUCAUCAUAAGUUUUUUGCUCACAGGGAGCGGAAAGAAAAACAAACAAAAGGAAAGCAAAAGGUUCACCACUCCCAGACUGCCAGAGAUAUAACUCAAGAGACUUCUAUUUUGUGGGUGAAAAGGGAAAAAGGCUAUGCUUCAAUGAUUCUUUAAUAAAAUAAUAAUUAAAAACA
This is a long non-coding RNA of Neopelma chrysocephalum (saffron-crested tyrant-manakin), 191 nucleotides long. RefSeq lists it as uncharacterized. The record is from RefSeq and is a predicted model, not a curated record. Lineage: Eukaryota; Metazoa; Chordata; Aves; Passeriformes; Pipridae. The transcript is spliced from 2 exons.